RNAcentral lists this transfer RNA (73 nucleotides) under Longimicrobium terrae. It matches the Rfam family "tRNA". Rfam says of the family: Transfer RNA (tRNA) molecules are approximately 80 nucleotides in length. Their secondary structure includes four short double-helical elements and three loops (D, anti-codon, and T loops). The record is from Rfam by way of RNAcentral. Lineage: Bacteria; Pseudomonadati; Gemmatimonadota; Longimicrobiia; Longimicrobiales; Longimicrobiaceae.
GCCCCGUUCGUCUAGUGGCCUAGGACAUGGCCCUCUCAAGGCUAAAACACGGGUUCGAUUCCCGUACGGGGUA